RNAcentral lists this ribosomal RNA (576 nucleotides) under uncultured bacterium. RNAcentral describes it as "bacterial SSU rRNA". It matches the Rfam family "Bacterial small subunit ribosomal RNA", at positions 331 to 908 of the family's 1533-position model. The record is from RNAcentral.
CCAGACUCCUACGGGAGGCAGCAGUGAGGAAUAUUGGUCAAUGGGCGAGAGCCUGAACCAGCCAAGUAGCGUGCAGGAAGACGGCCCUAUGGGUUGUAAACUGCUUUUGUAUGGGGAUAAAGUCAGUCACGUGUGAUUGUUUGCAGGUACCAUACGAAUAAGGACCGGCUAAUUCCGUGCCAGCAGCCGCGGUAAUACGGAAGGUCCGGGCGUUAUCCGGAUUUAUUGGGUUUAAAGGGAGCGUAGGCUGGAGAUUAAGUGUGUUGUGAAAUGUAGACGCUCAACGUCUGACUUGCAGCGCAUACUGGUUUCCUUGAGUACGCACAACGUUGGCGGAAUUCGUCGUGUAGCGGUGAAAUGCCUAGAUAUGACGAAGAACUCCGAUUGCGAAGGCAGCUGACGGGAGCGCAACUGACGCUGAAGCUCGAAGGUGCGGGUAUCGAACAGGAUUAGAUACCCUGGUAGUCCGCACAGUAAACGAUGGAUGCCCGCUGUUGGUACCUGGUAUCAGCGGCUAAGCGAAAGCAUUAAGCAUCCCACCUGGGGAGUACGCCGGCAACGGUGAAACUCAAAGGA